AACUGGAGUCCAUUCGGCAAGACAGA
RNAcentral lists this non-coding RNA (26 nucleotides) under Cricetulus griseus (Chinese hamster). The record is from RNAcentral. Lineage: Eukaryota; Metazoa; Chordata; Mammalia; Rodentia; Cricetidae.